CCCCAGACUCCUACGGGAGGCAGCAGUGGGGAAUAUUGCACAAUGGGGGAAACCCUGAUGCAGCGACGCCGCGUGAGCGAUGAAGUAUUUCGGUAUGUAAAGCGCUAUCAGCAGGGAAGAAAAUGACGGUACCUGACUAAGAAGCCCCGGCUAACUACGUGCCAGCAGCCGCGGUAAUACGUAGGGGGCAAGCGUUAUCCGGAUUUACUGGGUGUAAAGGGAGCGUAGGUGGCAUGGUAAGCCAGAAGUGAAAACCCGGGGCUCAACCCCGCGGAUUGCUUUUGGAACUAUCAGGCUGGAGUGCUGGAGGGGUAAGCGGAAUUCCUAGUGUAGCGGUGAAAUGCGUAGAUAUUAGGAGGAACACCGGUGGCGAAGGCGGCUUACUGGACGAUGACUGACGUUGAGGCUCGAAAGCGUGGGGAGCAAACAGGAUUAGAUACCCGAGUAU
This 448-nucleotide ribosomal RNA is filed under the name uncultured bacterium. Its description in RNAcentral is "bacterial SSU rRNA". It matches the Rfam family "Bacterial small subunit ribosomal RNA", at positions 329 to 793 of the family's 1533-position model. The record is from RNAcentral.